CUGGAAUUGUGCUAGAGAUUUGACAUUAGUAAGAGCUGGGAUGCUCGGCUUAAAAAUAUCUGUCCAUCUAUAUUUAAACCUCCUGUGAAAAACGUAAUGGCCAAAACACAGCUGGGCUCACAAUUACACUCACAAUUUAGCAUUUUUCAGGCAUUUUAAAGCAUGCUCUAUUCAUAAUUUUGGAGUAAAAAAAAAUAAAAAUACAGUAGGCAGAUGAGAAAACAAACCAUAAUAGUUAUUAAGAGGUGUACAAUAAAGCAAGAGCAUACUCGAAAUAUUCCAAACAGUACUGGGACAUUCUUCAUGUAAUUUCUUCAUGUAAAUACCUAUUCAGAUUGUAUUCAUUCACAGGUAGACAAAGAGAAGAGUUCUACGCAGAAUAUUAGAAGCAUGAGAAGGUUAGCCUUGACAUAUCCAAACUCUGACAAAAGUGGUAUCGUUACUGAAUGGUUGUUACAAUGUAAUCUGACAAAAUGGCAUUCAUUUUAUUCCCAAUUGUAUUGACUUUAGUUCCUAUCUAUCCAUCCUACAAAAUACAGAUUGUUUUAUUCUGUGAACUAAUAAUUGGUGAGUAAGGAUCAGCGAAGUCAAAUGAAAUGCUCCAGAUGAGAUUUAAAUGCCCACUAUCUUUAAAAACCCAGAUAUAGUUUGCAUGUCGGUGGCCCUGAUGGUCAGGUGGUGUGAAAUUUGCAGAGCAGCUGGCCUGUCAGUGUUUAUCGUGACCAUUCUUCCCCAUUAAUUGAACACGCCAAGCACCAUAACCACUAUAACUCGCUUUACUAACAGCAUGGCUUCUCACAUGGGAUCUGUUAGGUACUACUCCUGGCCUACACUCAGCCUCCUGGAGAGCUGGAUGGAGCUGUGAGGAGCUUCUGUAUGCUCUCCUGAGCCAAGUCCUGCAAUGCAGGGCUCAGAUUAUUGGCUGAGAGUAUUAUGAGAUUGCCCUUAGCCAGUGACUGCCAGGCUUAGCUCAGAGCUGAGAGCUUCUGGCUGCAGUGGAGGUAGGGAGCAGCACUCAGCAGGCACCAGAUAAGAAAUCAAACUACAGCUCCCUUAAGUGGUUAUGGUGCAUGGAGUGUUCUCUAAAGGGGAUGUUUAUAAUAUCACUUUAUACCUGAAAGUAUAGAAUUUCCA
Pelobates cultripes (western spadefoot toad) is the source of this 1134-nucleotide non-coding RNA. The record is from the annotation of a GenBank genome assembly. Lineage: Eukaryota; Metazoa; Chordata; Amphibia; Anura; Pelobatidae.